This 233-nucleotide ribosomal RNA is filed under the name uncultured Candidatus Saccharibacteria bacterium. RNAcentral's name for it is "partial 16S ribosomal RNA". It matches the Rfam family "Bacterial small subunit ribosomal RNA", at positions 584 to 818 of the family's 1533-position model. The record is from RNAcentral. Lineage: Bacteria; Candidatus Saccharimonadota.
UAAGCAAGGUGUGAAAUCGUACGGCUCAACCGUAUACACAUACUUUGAACUGGUAAGCUAGGGUAUAUGAGAGGUCACUGGAAUUUCUAGUGUAGGAGUGAAAUCCGUAGAUAUUAGAAGGAACACCGAUGGCGUAGGCAGGUGACUGGCAUAUUACUGACGCUAAGGCACGAAAGCGUGGGAGCGAACGGAUUAGAUACCCCGGUAGUCCACGCCGUAAACUAUGGAUGCUA